This 439-nucleotide ribosomal RNA is filed under the name uncultured Nitrospirales bacterium. Its description in RNAcentral is "partial 16S ribosomal RNA". It matches the Rfam family "Bacterial small subunit ribosomal RNA", at positions 338 to 794 of the family's 1533-position model. The record is from RNAcentral. Lineage: Bacteria; Pseudomonadati; Nitrospirota; Nitrospiria; Nitrospirales.
CCUACGGGAGGCAGCAGUGGGGAAUUUUGCGCAAUGGGGGAAACCCUGACGCAGCGACGCCGCGUGGAGGAUGAAGGCCUUCGGGUUGUAAACUCCUUUUGUGGGGGACGAUGGUGAUGGUACCCCAUGAAUAAGCCACGGCUAACUCUGUGCCAGCAGCCGCGGUAAGACAGAGGUGGCAAGCGUUGUUCGGAAUCACUGGGCUUAAAGGGCGCGUAGGCGGCAUUGCAAGUCUGGGGUGGAAUCCGAUGGCUUAACCACCGAACUGCCCUGGAAACUGCAUUGCUUGAGUCAGGGAGGGGAGGGCGGAAUUCCCGGUGUAGCGGUAAAAUGCGUAGAUAUCGGGAGGAAGGCCGGUGGCGAGGGCGGCCCUCUGGGGCUGGACUGACGCUGAGGCGCUAAAGCGGGGGGAGCAAACAGGAUUAGAUCCCCUGGUAGU